Molecule: ribosomal RNA, 482 nt
Filed under: uncultured bacterium
Lineage: Bacteria
Description: partial 16S ribosomal RNA
Rfam family: Bacterial small subunit ribosomal RNA
Source: RNAcentral
AUUGAACGCUGGCGGCAUGCCUUACACAUGCAAGUCGAACGGUAACGGGCCUUCGGGUGCCGACGAGUGUCGAACGGGUGAGUAAUACAUCGGAACGUGCCCGAUCGUGGGGGAUAACGAGGCGAAAGCUUUGCUAAUACCGCAUACGAUCUACGGAUGAAAGCAGGGGACCGCAAGGCCUUGCGCGGACGGAGCGGCCGAUGGCAGAUUAGGUAGUUGGUGGGAUAAAAGCUUACCAAGCCGACGAUCUGUAGCUGGUCUGAGAGGAUGAUCAGCCACACUGGGACUGAGACACGGCCCAGACUCCUACGGGAGGCAGCAGUGGGGAAUUUUGGACAAUGGGCGCAAGCCUGAUCCAGCCAUGCCGCGUGCAGGAUGAAGGCCUUCGGGUUGUAAACUGCUUUUGUACGGAACGAAAAGCCUUCUUUUAAUACAGGAGGGUCAUGACGGUACCGUAAGAAUAAGCAACGGCUAACUACGUG